This 368-nucleotide long non-coding RNA is filed under the name Sorghum bicolor (sorghum). RNAcentral describes it as "long non-coding RNA (SBIC_LNC000686)". Lineage: Eukaryota; Viridiplantae; Streptophyta; Magnoliopsida; Poales; Poaceae. The record is from RNAcentral.
UCACAAAACAUAUGUAUAUCCUUCACCAUGAAUACCUCCGCUACUAAGAUCUCUCUUUGUAUAAGUGUUUUUUGUUUAUUAGAUGACUAAGGAGAGAGAGAUAAUGUGCAAAAAAAUGAGAAAAGAUGAGUUACAGGCCACACAGGAGGUAAGGAUAAAAACAAAAUGAAAAAAAUCACAAUGGGGGGAAUGAACAACUAUAGGAUCAGACAUCUCAAUAAGAAAAGAAAUAGCCAAGGACAACAAACACCUAGACACUAUUGAAGAUAUUUCCAAAUGCCCACAUUGAUAUUGGCGGAUAUGUAGGGAAGUGCAUGAUGGAUUGAGUACUACCACCCACAUUCAACAAAUCGAACAAGUUUUCAGCC